This 301-nucleotide ribosomal RNA is filed under the name uncultured bacterium. RNAcentral describes it as "partial 16S ribosomal RNA". It matches the Rfam family "Bacterial small subunit ribosomal RNA", at positions 509 to 807 of the family's 1533-position model. The record is from RNAcentral.
CAGUAGCCACGGUAACACGGAGGGUGCAAGCGUUAAUCGGAAUUACUGGGCGUAAAGCGCACGCAGGCGGUCUGACAAGUCAGAUGUGAAAUCCCCGGGCUUAACCUGGGAACUGCAUUUGAAACUGUCAGGCUGGAGUCUUGUAGAGGGGGGUGGAAUUCCAGGUGUAGCGGUGAAAUGCGUAGAGAUCUGGAGGAAUACCGGUGGCGAAGGCGGCCCCCUGGACAAAGACUGACGCUCAGGUGCGAAAGCGUGGGGAGCAAACAGGAUUAGAGACCCCAGUAGUCCCUGUCUCUUAUAC